UCUUCUGUUGGGUUGGCGGUGGCGGAUCGAAGGUGGAGGCAGGGGAGGCUUCGGUUCGGACCGGAACCUGCUGCUGCAGCGGCGCCGGAUUUGGGGAAUGAACGGCUGCCAUCUGGUGAUGAACCGGAGCCGGUGCCGGAGUGGAGAUCUUGGCUGAGUUAGAUCGGGCGUCGAGAGAGGCCGUGUGGAGGGUAGCGUUGUGGUACCAGAUGCGGAAGUGGAUGGACAUGGCCUUGGAGGAGGGGAUGAUGGAGUACCUGCUGC
RNAcentral lists this long non-coding RNA (264 nucleotides) under Phoenix dactylifera (date palm). RNAcentral describes it as "long non-coding RNA (PDAC_LNC010605)". Lineage: Eukaryota; Viridiplantae; Streptophyta; Magnoliopsida; Arecales; Arecaceae. The record is from RNAcentral.